Molecule: long non-coding RNA, 1163 nt
Organism: Dama dama (fallow deer)
Lineage: Eukaryota; Metazoa; Chordata; Mammalia; Artiodactyla; Cervidae
Exons: 3
Source: RefSeq, a predicted model, not a curated record
UCCCUGGGACCCGCCGGGGGCGGGCAGGGCCUCGGGCUUCCGGCUGCCCCGGGGCGCAGGGGUGGGGGUCGCUGGCACGCGGGAGAGGACCCUGAGCUUCUCCCGGCCGGGAGCGUCCGGAGCCGGCCAGCCGAGUCUGACGGGUCUCCCGCCAUUUGAGACGCCGAUCGGGCACGUUGCCUGCACGUAGAGCGCUACCAGGCGCCCCAGGGUUUUGAUCAACCCCGACUCUAGCCUUUCCCUGAGCUAGCCUUCCUCGGCCAGAAGAUGCCCCCGGGCGAGCGAAGAACCGGUAGGGGAGCGGAAAGGGCUUUGGCGUGGGAAGAGUAGAGACUGAAUUCCUUAAGAUUUGCCAGCUCUGAGACCUUGGCUACGUUAUCUGUUUUCUUAGACUAUUUCAUCCUUUAUUAAAAAAAAAAAUUGUGGAGCCUUCUGGACAAGGAUGAAGAUACCAAGUGGAGUGUUUUGAGCGCGCGUCAACCGGCCGAGGGUUGUGAUUUCCAUCUUUUAAACGCGAGUCCAGACAUCGUGCUCCUCCCUCCUAAGGUCACUCGGAAGCCCUUGAGAGCCCCGGACCAGAGUCCAUUUGCCAUGACGCUGCUGCAUAACUCCGGUCUGGCUGAGCUCUGACCUCUGCGACAGAGAAUGGGCAUCUCCGUCUGCUGUAGAAGCCCUCAGGAGAAUUCAGUGGAGGACAUGCCUGACACUGAAAAUCCCUCUUAAAAUGCCACUGUACCAGAUCAGAAUAGAGGAGAUCAGAAUAAAGGUGGAUUCUUUACCACUGAGUCACCUGCGAAGCCCUACUGGUAACCUAAAGAAUGAGGAAGUUGGAACCAGGAACAGAGAGAGAAAUGCACUCCAAGCAGAGGGCACUGUAUAUGCCCAGCCUCCUCCUUGAGGGGUCCCGGCGUGCUGGCGGUGAGAGACAAGAGUGAGGGGAGGAUUCUUUACCAGCUGAGCCACAAGGGAAGCCCACAUCAUCUACAGAAGCAAAGCCAGUGAAUACUCAAGGUUAUGAAAGCAGAACCUAAGGAUAAAGAGCCAACUACAUUUAAAAUUAUAGCCAAUCAAUACUUUCCUUACCUUGCUUUCAGUUUUUCUCUAUAAAAGCUUUUCUUCAGUUCCUAUCUACAGAGCACUUCUAACUGCUUCCAGUUUGGCAU